GUGGAUUAGAUACCCUGGUAGUCCACGCCGUAAACGAUGGGCACUAGGUGUGGGAGGUGUCGACUCCUUCCGUGCCGUCGCUAACGCAUUAAGUGCCCCGCCUGGGGAGUACGGCCGCAAGGCUAAAACUCAAAGGAAUUGACGGGGGCCCGCACAAGCAGCGGAGCAUGUGGUUUAAUUCGACGCAACGCGAAGAACCUUACCUGGGCUUGACAUGUAGGUGACCGGUGUGGAAACACACCUUUCCUUCGGGACACCUUCACAGGUGGUGCAUGGUCGUCGACAGCU
RNAcentral lists this ribosomal RNA (288 nucleotides) under uncultured bacterium. RNAcentral's name for it is "partial 16S ribosomal RNA". It matches the Rfam family "Bacterial small subunit ribosomal RNA", at positions 773 to 1060 of the family's 1533-position model. The record is from RNAcentral.